RNAcentral lists this ribosomal RNA (743 nucleotides) under Trachycephalus coriaceus (Surinam golden-eyed treefrog). Its description in RNAcentral is "partial 12S ribosomal RNA". It matches the Rfam family "Bacterial small subunit ribosomal RNA", at positions 258 to 1386 of the family's 1533-position model. Lineage: Eukaryota; Metazoa; Chordata; Amphibia; Anura; Hylidae. The record is from RNAcentral.
UAAAUCCCCGCUAGGGAUAAGGAGCUGGUAUCAGGCACAAUUUUUAGCCCAAGACACCUAGGUACGCCACACCCACACGGGAACUCAGCAGUGAUUAACAUUGAACAUAAGCGACAGCUUGACUCAGUUAAAGUAAGAAGAGCCGGCAAAUCUGGUGCCAGCCGCCGCGGUUACACCACGUGGCUCAAAUUGAUUUCUUUCGGCGUAAAGCGUGAUUAAAGUNUACAAAAAACUAUAGCCAAACUAAAACUAAGCUGUAACACGCUUGUAUUUAGGAAAACCAAAAACGAAAGUUGCUAUAAUUAGAACAACUUGAACCCACGACAGUUGGGGCACAAACUGGGAUUAGAUACCCCACUAUGCCCAACCGUAAACUUUUAAUUACACCCCNUAUCGCCCGGGAACUACGAGCAAAGCUUAAAACCCAAAGGACUUGACGGUANCCCCACAUCCACCUAGAGGAGCCUGUCCUAUAAUCGAUAACCCCCGUUUAACCUCACCAUUUUUAGCCUAUCAGCCUGUAUACCUCCGUCGUCAGCUUACCACGUGAGCGACCCUUAGUGAGCUUAAUGCCCCUACGCCAACACGUCAGGUCAAGGUGCAGCAAAUAAAAUGGGAAGAGAUGGGCUACACUCUCUAUUCUAGAAGACACGAAAGACUACAUAUGAAACCUAGUCUGAAGGCGGAUUUAGUAGUAAAAAGAGACAAGAGAGCUCUUUUUAACACGGCACUGGGGUGUGUAC